Biomphalaria glabrata is the source of this 4193-nucleotide long non-coding RNA. RefSeq lists it as uncharacterized. NCBI's taxonomy places the organism in Eukaryota, Metazoa, Mollusca, Gastropoda, Planorbidae. The transcript is spliced from 2 exons. The record is from RefSeq and is a predicted model, not a curated record.
AGUGGGGGAUUCUAAAAAAAGGGGUCGCCGAGCUUAAAAGGUUGAGAACCGCUAGUAUAGUGCAUUAGAAUGAUGAAAUCAUAGAAUACUAAUGGUGAAAUAAUAAAGUACUAAUGAUGCAAUUAUAGUGCAUAAUUUGUGAAUCAGUGCAAUACAAUGAGUUGUGACAUGAUUGUUUUUUUCUCAUGUAGUAAAUAUAUAGAUCAGUGCAUUGGCUCCUGCUUUUAUGUUGAAUUUUGUUAUAUUAUCAAACAACUGUUAGCUUAGAAAAUUAAAUCAAAGAUCACUUGGAACAUUGGCUUUAGGAAAGUUCUGAUGGCUGGCCCCUGUGGUUCUGUCUUUACCUGUGAACCAAUUAACUUUCUUAAUUGACAAAACUUCAUUUUAAAUUUCUUCUUUUUAUGUUUCUUUGUAUCAAGUUCAAAGUUCAUUAUGUGACCUGGGGGAAGACCUCAUCUGAAAACUGUGUCAAGGCUGUUCACAGCUCAUCUACUGCAUUGUCUCUGCCAUCAAGAUGUCCAGUAUUUACAAUGUUUAGAACCACUGGUCUUAAGUCCUAAAGAAAUGAGACUCGUUGAACUAGGAAGUUUUCAUUUUAAACAUUCUAGCCAGCGAUUGCUUGAGCUUUGGAGAGUUCUGCAGUUGAAGGCCUAGACUUGAACAAAAAGUUUAUUUGACUUCAUUUGAACUCGGAUUUUUUUUUUUGGUUUUGUUUUGGACAACUUCUCUAAAAGUGUAAAAGUUUGGUUUGAUCUUAUCUAUACCAUAGCAUUUUAUAGUCAAGUUUUGGUUUUGUUUUGGACAACUUCUCUAAAAGUGUAAAAGUUUGGUUUGAUCUUAUCUAUACCAUAGCAUUUUAUAGUCAAGUUUUGGUUUUGUUUUGGACAACUUCUCUAAAAGUGUAAAAGUUUGGUUUGAUCUUAUCUAUACCAUAGCAUUUUAUAUUCAAGUUUUGGUUUUGUUUUGGACAACUUCUCUAAAAGUGUAAAAGUUUGGUUUGAUCUUAUCUAUACCAUAGCAUUUUAUAGUCAAGUUUUGGUUUUGUUUUAACCAUAGAUUGGAAACAAUAGACUCUCCUUUUGGUCAGAGGCAAAUGUUCAUUUUUUCUCAGAUGAUCUAGAUGUGUGUGUCUCAUGGAUGUGUGUGUCUUAUCAAUGUGUCUCACUGGAUGUGAUGUUGGAUGUAAUGCACAUUUUUACUUGAGACAAAAGUUUGAUUGCUCAAAGAGUUGAAAGAUCUCUCUAUGACCUUGACCUUGUUUGAACACUCCAUGAUAGAAUGCAAUGAGUUGCUCAAGUUUCACACUAUGCUAGACCCCCCAGAACUUGGGUAAUCAACUCGACUCAAGCGUCUCUGUUCCUGGACCAAUUCAUGCCAAUAGUUUUCUAAUAUGUUUUCGUCUUCAUCAGCUUGAACUUUCAUUAACAAACUAUUUUCUGCAAUCACCAGAGUAAUCUUUUAAUGGUUUUAUGCAUACAAACUCACAUACAGGGUAUUGUCAUUGGGAUUUAGAUUCUAUUAAAUAUCUGACAAGUUUUAAAACACAGCUGUCAACGGGAAAGUUGAAUCGGUUAUGGGGUUUGUGAUUUUGAUCUGUCAAGUAAUUGGAUACCAGUUUACACAAUUAUUGGACAAAGUUGUUAUGUAUAAUCUUAAAGGAAUUAAUAAAAAAUUUCUAGACUAUGUACUUAUGUGUUUAUACUUUCUGCAAUUCAUUUCUAUAUACAAGUUUGUGAAUCAGAUCAGUCAAUUUGAAUUGCAGGCAUUAAAGAUUUGACAUUUUUGUACUGCUCUGAACAGCUUUAGAAAGAUCUAGAUCUAGGUUUUUCUACUUGCUAACUGUUCUGACCAGCUUUAGAAAGAUCUAGAUCUAGGUUUUUCUACUUGCUAGUCUACAGCUAUUUAUGUCCUUGAAAUCCAAAUAAUGUAUUUCGCUAGAAAUUUAAAAUUUAUUUUUCUUUGUAAUAUUUGUCUCAUUGAUUUAUAAAGCAAGACCCAUCUUUAUGUUGACAAGAUCUACUUCUGUUUUGGAUUGGAAACGUUUUCUUGGUGAAGAUCUGUGUGGUAGAUCUGUUACUGUUUUUCUUUAAUCUCGAUUUAAAAAGCUAGAUACUUGACAUUUUAGAAUUGGUACUUUAAAAAAAAAAUCAUAACCUAAAACUUUCAGCAUGCAAACAAAAUAUGACUAUGUCCUAGUGAUACAAAGUAGGUCUUAUGUCCCUGAGAUACAAUGUAGAACUUGUGUCUCAGAGGUACAAAGAAGGACUGGUCUCAGAGGUACUGAUUAGGACUUGUCUCAGAGGUACUGAGUAGGACUUGUCUCAGAGGUACUGAAUAGGACUUGUCUGAGAGGUACAUAGUAGGACUUGUCUCAGAGGUACAUAGUAGGACUUGUCUCAGAGGUACAUAGUAGGACUUGUCUCAGAGGUACUGAGUAGGACUUGUCUCAGAGGUACUGAGUAGGACUUGUCAGAGGUACUGAAUAGGACUUGUCUCAGAGGUACUGAGUAGGACUUGUCUCAGAGGUAUUCUGUUCACAACUUGUAACAUUCUACAUCUACAUUUGUGUACGUAUCACGAUCGAACGAGAGUUUUUUUCUUGACCUGUGUAACUACCAACUGACUGCUGCCAGUGAAACUAAUGAUUUUAGUCUCAAGGGUUCUAGGUUAUCGUGUUGUUGGUUUAACUUUAUAGAGAUGACUCUGUGGGCUGGGAGGUGUCUAAGAGAUGACUCUGUGGGCUGGGAGGUGUCUAAGAGAUGACUCUGUGGGCUGGGAGGUGUCUAAGAGAUGACUGUGGGCUGAGAGGUGUCUAAGAGAUGACUCUGUGGGCUGGGAGGUGUCUAAGUAGGAUCAUGAUGGCUUUGAAUGUGUCAUCUGAAAGAUGUAUGAUCUUAUUUUCUUGCUCUUUUGUUAUUCAGACUAGAACUUAUUUUAGAUCGAAGGUUCUAGACAUUUAUGGCAGAAAACAUGGAGAAAUAGGAUAUUUAUAAUGAAAUGAUAGAAAAAAUGGCAUAUUAAUUACUGGUCAAAUCAUUGAAACACUGGUCAAAUUAUUAGGAAAAAAAAGUCAAAUCAUCGGGACACUGGUCAGAUUUUAUGUAACACUAGUUAAAAAUUGUGUGUGUAAUACUUUGAAAACAAAAAUGUUACUAUUUUGUCCUUUGUUUCUUUUCUUUUCUACAUGUUUCUGUAAUCAAAAUAAUAGUUGGAUCAUGAGAUAAUAAAUUGAAACAUUUGAGAUCCACUGUGUAGAAUUGUAUAAUUAAAUAUCUUGAUCUAGUUCGCCAUGUUUGAUUACAUUAUUCUAAGUGUUCCUUAAGCAGUGCAAGUCAAAUUGUAAAAGGAUCAAAUAGCUCUCUAGACAUUCGUACAGCUGACAACUAAUAAUUAUUAAUCUGCUUACAAAUUUCAUUAGCGGAAGACUGGCGCGCCAACUGGUUUUAAAAACUUUACUUUGGCUUGGCGCCGACCCCUUGGUAAAUGACCCAAUCACCAGGUCAGACCUUUUCUCUCGUCUGGCGUUCAUUUUCUUAUCUUAUAAAAUACAAACGUUACUUCAAAAAAAAAAAAGAUGAUGAUUACGUCCUACGCGUGUCCCUAGGUCACUAUAGUCUUACAUGCUAAUCAAUGACUUAAAUUCUGCUAAAUCAUUGGUUUUCUUGUCUGACUCAGGCAACCCAUUCCAUGCUCUAAUUAGCACUAGGGAAGAAGGUGCAGACGUUUGUUGUUACUGAUUGAUUUAGUCGUCUGCAUGAGUCCAGUUAUUUUGAAUGUUUAAAUAGGGCCAUCUCAAUUGAUUUCACCUGCCUUUUGGCUCGCACACUGAAGUGUGACAAAGUUAUACAAUGUUAGUUUGCCCUCGUGUUAUAUUCUCUUGUUUAUCUUUUUUUUUCAUUCAUGUAUCGUGGUCUUUUAAAAUGUCUUUCAAAGUAUUCAUUUUUUUGUACUGUCAACUAUAAAUCUCUAUUUCAUGUGCUUGAUGUAGAUCUACUUACUGUGUUUUAGAUGGCUAUAAAACCACAUGACCUAUGACGUCAUAGCUAGGUAGAGAUGAUACGUAGUGGCCUACUGUCAUUCUAGACUCCUCUCUUUUUAUAUCGAGUGUUGUUCAUUAUCCACUCAUUGUGUGUGUGUGUUAUUGCAUAGCCUCAUGUGAUAUCUUGAUGAAAUAAACAUUCCAGUUCUCUUGA